Molecule: ribosomal RNA, 468 nt
Filed under: uncultured bacterium
Lineage: Bacteria
Description: partial 16S ribosomal RNA
Rfam family: Bacterial small subunit ribosomal RNA
Source: RNAcentral
GACGAACGCUGGCGGCGUGCUUAACACAUGCAAGUCGAACGGAAAGGCCCUGCUUUUGUGGGGUGCUCGAGUGGCGAACGGGUGAGUAACACGUGAGUAACCUGCCCUUGACUUUGGGAUAACUUCAGGAAACUGGGGCUAAUACCGGAUAGGAGCUCCUGCUGCAUGGUGGGGGUUGGAAAGUUUCGGCGGUUGGGGAUGGACUCGCGGCUUAUCAGCUUGUUGGUGGGGUAGUGGCUUACCAAGGCUUUGACGGGUAGCCGGCCUGAGAGGGUGACCGGCCACAAUGGGACUGAGAUACGGCCCAGACUCCUACGGGAGGCAGCAGUCGGGAAUAUCGAACAAUGGGCGGAAGCCUGAUGCAGCAACGCCGCGUGCGUGAUGACGGCCUUCGGGUUGUAAACCGCUUUCGCCUGUGACGAAGCGUGAGUGACGGUAAUGGGUAAAGAAGCACCGGCUAACUACGUG